GGCUGCGUGGCCCAGUGGUUAAGGCAUCUGCUUUACAAGGAUAUUGUCUCGCAGAGGAUCGCAGGUUCGAGCCCUGCCGCGGUCA
Non-coding RNA from Chaetomium sp. MPI-CAGE-AT-0009, 85 nucleotides. NCBI's taxonomy places the organism in Eukaryota, Fungi, Ascomycota, Sordariomycetes, Sordariales, Chaetomiaceae. The record is from the annotation of a GenBank genome assembly.